Molecule: long non-coding RNA, 1598 nt
Organism: Vitis vinifera (wine grape)
Lineage: Eukaryota; Viridiplantae; Streptophyta; Magnoliopsida; Vitales; Vitaceae
Exons: 5
Source: RefSeq, a predicted model, not a curated record
GAUUCCCGCUAUUUUGUAUUUCGAAAGGCUCCCAUAAACUCCCGAUUCCCUCCUCCGCAUUCUCCUUCCUUCUCUAUCAGCUCGGCUCUCUGUAAAGUCUGUGAUAAACCAUCAUGACUUAAGAUCUUUAUAACUACCUGAUGUGGUUGCCAUAGAGAAGUAUCAAAGACCAGUGUCGAAUGAGGUUGGCAUCACAUCUUUUUGGAACAUCCAAAAUGAUGGUGUGGCUGGUUUUUAAACCACCUUGGAUAUUAAAAUUUGUGGUCAGGUUUUCUUAUAGCCUGAAAAGCAAAAGGCAGUAUGAUGGCCAUAAACCCAUGUUUCUAUAAUUCAUGGCAUGCAUCUUCUGUCGUGACUAUUAUGUAAUUGAUUAACUGUGGUUGGUGGGGAUAAGCUGAUACCCUUUGGGAUGCUUCAUGUGAUCCAUCUUUUUCUUUACCUAUUGAGAUGUUCUUUUUUUUCUUUUUUUUUCUCUCUCUCUGAACCUAGACCUAUGAACUUUUAUACUUAGGUGACACAUGGGUAAUGGUUAAGAUGGGACUGGGCUUGAGCCCAUCUUAAAGUUGCAAUUCUAAUUUCUUCUCACAUACAUUUUGGAUCUCAGGUAGCUUAAAGGCGAAUGGCCAGCUGGCUAUCCUGAUAUACACUCCCUUUUGCUCGUCAGGGAAAAAGGUCUUGCUGUCCCAAUGAUAUGUUUGGGGUUAGUCAGGAGCACAAGUGGGAGGAACCCAGACUGGCGCCACUUAACAGUGAAGGCGAUGUUUCCAUGCUGCAAAAAACUUGAUGCAAUUGCAAGGUGGCUCACAUGGCAAGGGCAAGAGCAGCUGUGGAUGAUCCUUCAUUUUAGCUAUGCCAAAAGAGAACGGAACAGCUUUUGGAAAAGCCCUACUUGUGUUGUUGCUGAGCUCCUUCUCUUUCUCUUUUCUGAGGCUUGAGCCAAUGCGGAGCCCGCGAUUUUUGGCUCUGAUGCCAAAGCGACCCAGAGUGGCCUCCCUAUGAUUCGAAUUUAAGACUAAGGUCUUUUUGGUUGCCCUCUUAGUACCAUCUGGGCUGUUAAAGUCUUGCGUCAUCGAGGUCCUCGUGGUCGUUAUAUGGACGUUCCCUCUCAACUGAAGAUGAUUCCUGCUUUAGUCAACUUGCAAAAGAUGUCCGAACAAGAUGUUCGGAUACACCCUCCGAUGGUUUUGUUAGUCAUCGCUCUAAUGAUCAAUCUGCUUCUUUUUGCUGAGUCAAAAAAGCUUACUUCCCUCUUCGCAUGAGAGCCCUUUUAUAGUGUCAGAAACUUUAUCCUCUUUAAUGGUGGGAAAACUUUUUGGCUUGUCAUGAUGGUGCUGAGGCGGUGGCAGAGUCAUCAUCGCUCUACAGGCGGCGGAAUGCGAGCUGUAACAGACUGUCUGAAGUGAUUCAGUAUGACCCACGUUUUACGGCCAAGGCUUCCUAGUUCCAGACAACAUAUCCGGACAAGGGAGAAAAUCGUCCGAGUAGCUGAUUUGAGAGUGCCAUAUGCCCCCCUAAAGGAUCCGGAUAGAGAGUUGAUGUGCCAUGUCGGCGUCUGGAGUGAUCCCUACAAUUUUCACUAAAAUUGCAGAACCAUACUU